UGUUUAGUGUGUCUUUUGUGAA
This 22-nucleotide non-coding RNA is filed under the name Rattus norvegicus (Norway rat). The record is from RNAcentral. Lineage: Eukaryota; Metazoa; Chordata; Mammalia; Rodentia; Muridae.